CUUCUCUUUUUAGAAUUUGGUUCUGCCUAAUCGCAGAUUAAAAGGGAAUCGUGUGAAAAUCACGAACUGUCGCGCAACUGUAAGUAACUGAAGUCUUUAUUAAAAAUCCACUGUUUUAUCACAAAAUGGGAAGGGAAUAAAGAUGUUACAAGUCAGGAGACCUGCCUUUUUCUUCAAAUAAAA
Molecule: non-coding RNA, 183 nt
Filed under: Chryseobacterium arachidis
Lineage: Bacteria; Pseudomonadati; Bacteroidota; Flavobacteriia; Flavobacteriales; Weeksellaceae
Source: RNAcentral